CGAAGGGGGCUAGCGUUGUUCGGAAUUACUGGGCGUAAAGCGCGCGCAGGCGGUCUUCCAAGUCAGUGGUGAAAGCCUGGAGCUCAACUCCAGAACUGCCAUUGAAACUGUUAGACUUGAGUACGAGAGAGGUGAGUGGAAUUCCCAGUGUAGAGGUGAAAUUCGUAGAUAUUGGGAAGAACACCAGUGGCGAAGGCGGCUCACUGGCUCGUAACUGACGCUCAGGCGCGACAGCGUGGGGAUCAAACAGGACUAGAUACCCUGGUAGUCCACGCCGUAAACGAUGAAUGCUAGCCGUUGGAUAGCUUGCUAUUCAGUGGCGCAGCUAACGCAUUAAGCAUUCCGCCUGGGGAGUACGGCCGCAAGGUUG
RNAcentral lists this ribosomal RNA (370 nucleotides) under uncultured organism. Its description in RNAcentral is "bacterial SSU rRNA". It matches the Rfam family "Bacterial small subunit ribosomal RNA", at positions 526 to 896 of the family's 1533-position model. The record is from RNAcentral.